GAUGAACGCUGGCGGCGUGCCUAAUACAUGCAAGUCGAGCGAACGGACGAGAAGCUUGCUUCUCUGAUGUUAGCGGCGGACGGGUGAGUAACACGUGGAUAACCUACCUAUAAGACUGGGAUAACUUCGGGAAACCGGAGCUAAUACCGGAUAAUAUUUUGAACCGCAUGGUUCAAAGGUGAAAGACGGUCUUGCUGUCACUUAUAGAUGGAUCCGCGCUGCAUUAGCUAGUUGGUAAGGUAACGGCUUACCAAGGCAACGAUGCAUAGCCGACCUGAGAGGGUGAUCGGCCACACUGGAACUAAGACACGGUCCAGACUCCUACGGGAGGCAGCAGUAGGGAAUCUUCCGCAAUGGGCGAAAGCCUGACGGAGCAACGCCGCGUGAGUGAUGAAGGUCUUCGGAUCGUAAAACUCUGUUAUUAGGGAAGAACAUAUGUGUAAGUAACUGUGCACAUCUUGACGGUACCUAAUCAGAAAGCCACGGCUAACUACGUGCCAGCAGCCGCGGUAAUACGUAGGUGGCAAGCGUUAUCCGGAAUUAUUGGGCGUAAAGCGCGCGUAGGCGGUUUUUUAAGUCUGAUGUGAAAGCCCACGGCUCAACCGUGGAGGGUCAUUGGAAACUGGAAAACUUGAGUGCAGAAGAGGAAAGUGGAAUUCCAUGUGUAGCGGUGAAAUGCGCAGAGAUAUGGAGGAACACCAGUGGCGAAGGCGACUUUCUGGUCUGUAACUGACGCUGAUGUGCGAAAGCGUGGGGAUCAAACAGGAUUAGAUACCCUGGUAGUCCACGCCGUAAUCGAUGAGUGCUAAGUGUUAGGGGGUUUCCGCCCCUUAGUGCUGCAGCUAACGCAUUAAGCACUCCGCCUGGGGAGUACGACCGCAAGGUUGAAACUCAAAGGAAUUGACGGGGACCCGCACAAGCGGUGGAGCAUGUGGUUUAAUUCGAAGCAACGCGAAGAACCUUACCAAAUCUUGACAUCCUUUGACAACUCUAGAGAUAGAGCCUUCCCCUUCGGGGGACAAAGUGACAGGUGGUGCAUGGUUGUCGUCAGCUCGUGUCGUGAGAUGUUGGGUUAAGUCCCGCAACGAGCGCAACCCUUAAGCUUAGUUGCCAUCAUUAAGUUGGGCACUCUAAGUUGACUGCCGGUGACAAACCGGAGGAAGGUGGGGAUGACGUCAAAUCAUCAUGCCCCUUAUGAUUUGGGCUACACACGUGCUACAAUGGACAAUACAAAGGGCAGCGAAACCGCGAGGUCAAGCAAAUCCCAUAAAGUUGUUCUCAGUUCGGAUUGUAGUCUGCAACUCGACUACAUGAAGCUGGAAUCGCUAGUAAUCGUAGAUCAGCAUGCUACGGUGAAUACGUUCCCGGGUCU
Molecule: ribosomal RNA, 1372 nt
Filed under: uncultured bacterium
Lineage: Bacteria
Description: bacterial SSU rRNA
Rfam family: Bacterial small subunit ribosomal RNA
Source: RNAcentral